AGUGAACGCUGGCGGCGUGCUUAACACAUGCAAGUCGAACGAGAAACGGAUUUAGCUUGCUAAAUUGCAGUCUAAGUGGCGCACGGGUGAGUAAUGUAUAGGUAAUAUGCCUCUUACUAAGGGAUAACAAUUGGAAACGAUUGCUAAUACCUUAUAUGCCUUUAAUACGAAAGUAUGCAAGGGAGAGAUUUAUUGGUAAGAGAUUAGCCUGUAUGGUAUCAGCUUGUUGGUGAGGUAAUGGCUCACCAAGGCUAUGACGCCUAACUGGUUUGAGAGGAUGAUCAGUCACACUGGAACUGAGACACGGUCCAGACUCCUACGGGAGGCAGCAGUGGGGAAUAUUGCACAAUGGACGAAAGUCUGAUGCAGCAACGCCGCGUGGAGGAUGACACAUUUCGGUGCGUAAACUCCUUUUAUAUAGGAAGAUAAUGACGGUACUAGAUGAAUAAGGACCGGCUAAUUCCGUGCCAGCCGCCGCGGUAA
This 483-nucleotide ribosomal RNA is filed under the name uncultured bacterium. RNAcentral describes it as "partial 16S ribosomal RNA". It matches the Rfam family "Bacterial small subunit ribosomal RNA", at positions 29 to 523 of the family's 1533-position model. The record is from RNAcentral.